RNAcentral lists this ribosomal RNA (253 nucleotides) under uncultured bacterium. RNAcentral describes it as "partial 16S ribosomal RNA". It matches the Rfam family "Bacterial small subunit ribosomal RNA", at positions 524 to 776 of the family's 1533-position model. The record is from RNAcentral.
UACGUAGGGUGCAAGCGUUGUCCGGAAUUAUUGGGCGUAAAGAGCUCGUAGGCGGUUCGUCGCGUCGGCUGUGAAAACCCGGAGCUCAACUCCGGGCCUGCAGUCGAUACGGGCGGACUUGAGUGUUGCAGGGGAGACUGGAAUUCCUGGUGUAGCGGUGAAAUGCGCAGAUAUCAGGAGGAACACCGGUGGCGAAGGCGGGUCUCUGGGCAACUACUGACGCUGAGGCACGAAAGCGUGGGGAGCGAACCGG